Molecule: long non-coding RNA, 4755 nt
Filed under: Canis lupus familiaris (dog)
Lineage: Eukaryota; Metazoa; Chordata; Mammalia; Carnivora; Canidae
Description: lncRNA (ENSCAFG00845028782.1)
Source: RNAcentral
UUUUGUUGACUGUAUCCUUUGCUGUGCAAAAGCUUCUUAUCUUGAGGAAGUCCCAUUAGUUCAUUUUUGCUUUUGUUUCUUUUGCCUUCGUGGAUGUAUCUUGCAAGAAGUUACUGUGGCUGAGUUCAAAAAGGGUGUUGCCUGUGUUCUCCUCUAGGAUUUUGAUGGACUCUUGUCUCACAUUUAGAUCUUUCAUCCAUUUUGAGUUUAUCUUUGUGUAUGGUGCAAGAGAGUGGUCUAGUUUCAUUCUUCUGCAUGUGGAUGUCCAAUUUUCCCAGCACCAUUUAUUGAAGAGACUGUCUUUCUUCCAGUGGAUAGUCUUUCCUCCUUUAUCGAAUAUUAGUUGACCAUAAAGUUGAGGGUCCACUUCUGGGUUCUCUAUUCUGUUCCAUUGAUCUGUGUAUCUGUUUUUGUGCCAGUACCACAGUGUCUUGAUGACCACAGCUUUGUAGUACAACCUGAAAUCUGGCAUUGUGAUGCCCCCAGAUAUGGUUUUCUUUUUUAAAAUUCCCCUGGCUAUUCGGGGUCUUUUCUGAUUCCACACAAAUCUUAAGAUGAUUUGUUCUAACUCUCUGAAGAAAGUCCAUGGUAUUUUGAUAGGGAUUGCAUUAAAUGUGUAAAUUACCCUGAGUAACAUUGACAUUUUCACAAUAUUAAUUCUGCCAAUCCAUGAGCAUGGAAUAUUUUUCCAUCUCUUUGUGUCUUCCUCAAUUUCUUUCAGAAGUGUUCUAUAGUUUUUAGUGUAUAGAUCCUUUACCUCUUUGGUUAGGUUUAUUCCUAGGGAUCUUAUGCUUUUGGGUGCAAUUGUAAAUGGGAUUGACUCCUUGAUUUCUCUUUCUUCAGUCUCAUUGUUAGUGUAUAGAAAUGCAACUGAUUUCUGGGCAUUGAUUUUGUAUCCUGCCAUGCUGCCAAACUGCUGUAUGAGUUCUAGCAAUCUUGGGGUGGAGGCUUUUGGGUUUUCUAUGUAGAGUAUCAUGUCAUCGGCGAAGAGGGAGAGUUUGACUUCUUCUUUGCCAAUUUGAAUGCCUUUAAUGUCUUUUUGUUGUCUGAUUGCUGAGGCUAGGACUUCCAGUAUUAUGUUGAAUAGCAGUGGUGAGAGUGGGCAUCCCUGUCUUGUUCUUGAUCUUAGGGGAAAGGCUCCCAGUGCUUCCCCAUUGAGAAUGAUAUUUGCUGUGGGCUUUUUGUAGAUGGCUUUUAAGGUGUUGAGGAAUGUUCCCUCUAUCCCUCCACUCUGAAGAGUUUUGAUCAGGAAUGGAGGCCCUAUUUUGUCAAAUGCUUUCUCUGCAUCUAAUGAGAGGAUCAUACGGUUCUUGGUUUUUCUCUUGCUGAUAUGAUGAAUCACAUUGAUUGUUUUACGAGUGUUGAACCAGCCUUGUGUCCCGGGGAUGAAUCCUACUUGGUCUCGUUAGCUCUCUCUUUCUGCCUUUGAGUAUAUAUGUUCAUAUAACUCCUAAGUUUUUUUUGGUGUGUGUGUGUGUGUGUGUGGUAAGCAGGGAUUGCAGAAGUGGAAAGCCUGUAUUAAGAAUUGUUUGUAAUUUUUUUAAUCUUUUGCUUUUCUAAGCUUUUGUUUUUGACACUUCAGCUUCAUUGAUCUCUAUUGAGUCCUGCUUUCCACUGUAAUUCUCAUUUUUAUUUCUUUCUUAUUGCACUUUCUUAAUAUUUAAGAUAAUCUUUAGUCUUGGAUUUUUUUUUACCAAUAAAUGCAUUAAGGGUUGUAAUGUUCUCUGUGUACAAAUUCUUAUAUUUAGUCAUUUCUAUAUUACCAUCUUGUAUAUAUUUGUAAGCAUUUCCACUAUGAUUUCUUCUUGAAGUAUGAGGUACUUAGGAGAUUAUAUUUAAUCACCAAGAUUUUCAUUUCCAAAUAUAUGGAAGUUUUAAUGACUCUCUUUUGUUAUUGUUUACUUAGUUGUGCUAACUUAAUUGUGCUCUACUCAGAGAAUAUAGUCUAUGUGAUACCCAAACUUGCUUUAUGGACUUGAUUUGAAAGGAGGAUGUUUUGUCCAGUAACCCGAUGCAAGGUUCUCUCUGCAGCCUAUUAGAACACAAAAUGUUUAUUUUUUUUAACAUGUGUUUCUUUAAAGCAAAUUCACUCACAUGUGAUACAUUAAUAGGGGAAUUAUUCUGGAAUAGAGUGAAAAUUGUGUUGAUUCAUUCAUCUACAGCACAUGCUAGAUAAGAGGAAGCAGAAUUAUGAUCUUUAUGAAGAAACGGAAAAAAUGUUCAACAUUGGUGCUAUACCAGCAGGAAAAGCACUUCAGCAUCUACCUGAGGAUGAUGGGAACAGCCCCACCCUAGAAACCGGCAUUCCGGGCUGCAUCCUACAGAAGCACACUCCUCACUCCUGCUCUGCGUGGCUGUUGGUCAUCAUCCUGCCACCUGUGAUCAUCCUAACAAGAUCACACUGGCUUACGCUCCUUUCCAUCUGUCUUGUCUCAGCACCCACCAGCCAUGGUCCAAAUAAAGUUUUGCCAUCAUUACCACUCUACUGUUUUGGUACAUUUUUAGUAACCACUGUGGCAGCAUCUGUUGACACUAAUACAUCUGUAUGGGCAGUCCAAAUUAUCCGCUGAAGUCUUAAUUACUUAUUUUUUGUUUUGUGAGAUUUUUACAAAGCCACAUAGUUGUAUACCGUCUUCUCCAAUCCUCUUUUUCUCAGAAGCCUUGCUGUUUUUUGUGUAUAUUUUUACAGCACAGAAUGAUUUUUAGGACAUAUAUUCCUAUAGAGCAGAAAUCUCUAAAUGUCCUUCAUUUUCACCUUGUAAUUUAUGUGCUUCAAAUCUUAUAUACAUUUUGCUAGUAAAGGAAGUCAGUCAGAGACAAAUACCAUAUGAUUUCACUCAUAUCUGGAAAUUAAGAAACAGAACAAAUGAAAGAGAGAGAGAGAGAGAGAGAGAGAAACCAAGAUACAGAUUCUUAACUAUAAUGAGUAAAUUGAUAAUUAACCAGAAGGGAGAUGGGGGGAAUGGGUGAAAUAUGUAAAGGAGAUUGAGUACAUUUAUCUUAAUGAGUACUAAGUAAUGUACAGAACUGUUGAACUGCUGUAUUGUACAUCUGAAACUAAUCUAACAUUGUUAACUAUACUGGAAUUAAAAUAAAAAAUUAAUUUAAAAAACUACAUAUAUAUAUAUAGUGUAAAAAACUAUAUAUAUAUAUAUAUUAUCAAUUUUGAAGAUAAAACUAUUAAAAUCUUCCCAAAGAUCUAUAGAUUUGUCAAUUCUUCCUUGUAGUUUAUUCACUUUUGCUUUUACAUAUUUUAAAGCUUAUGUUAUUGAGGAUUAUGAGAUCAUAAUCAAUCAAAUUUUAUUUGUGGGAUUUGUGAAGCUUUGAUUUAAAGUGGACUCCCUUUAUUUAUUCCAUCAUGUACCUGGAUGGGUCAUCAAUUGGGACUUUCUUAAAGUAAAUCCCUGGUUUAUGUCCUUUGAGGGCUAUAGCAGUAGACUGGAUUCUAAUCUAAAAGAUAUAACCAGAUUGUCAUCAGAAAUUCUUUGUUAAAGCUGUUUUUCCUCCUUCUACAUAAAGCAUAAAAGUUUUCCCUUCGUCUUAUCCUUUGAGCACCUUUCUUCUUUUUACAACUUGUCCCUUUCUUGGCAAAAUUACCUUCUGGAGUCUGUUUUUGUAAGAGAUUCUCUUAAUGAUUUCCCAUCUUGUGCAGGACUGGGCAUUUUCUCCUUUCUUGGUCAUGAAUCCCAUCAAAUGGAAACAUUCUGUCCACUGAGGAUCAAGUGCUCUCACACAGCCCUCAGGUUUGGUGCUUUAUUCCCUUCCAAUUUGCUGUUUCAGGCUUUGGUAUUUCUCUCACUCUCUUGCCCAAUCAAAUGUGCACAUAAAGCGGGUAUAUGUAAAUAAUUUUUAAAAAGUAUUUAUUUAUUUAUUCAUGAGAGACACAGACUGAGAGAGAGAAAGGCUGAGACAUAGAUGGGGGAGAAGUAAGCACCUUGCAGGGAGCCCAAUGCAGGACUCUAUCCCUGAUCCGGGGAUCACUACUUGAGCUGAAGGCAGACGCCCAACUGCUGAGCCACCAGGUACCCCCAUCCCUGUACCUAAUUUUUUAUACGUAACUUAUUGCAAAGUUUAUUCAGGAAAUUAGUCUGCUGUAUAUAUGUUGGAAUAUUGUCGCUCUUUAACAUUAGUCCUGUAUUUUUAAAAUUUCCAUAACUAAAACAUAUUAUUAUGAUGGUAAAGUAUUAUUUCAAGCAAAAUAGCUUUUGUUGAAUUGAAACCUUCACUCUAAUCCCCUAUAUUGCAAGGAAAGUAUAGGAACAAUGUAAUUGUGACUGUCAAGUAGUUUACAAGUUCUUAUACUUCUAAAGAUGAAUAGCUCUUUUUAUUUCUAAGAAUAUAUAACACAGGUACUUACAACUAUUAAAUACAUCUGAAUAUAUAACGACCACACACACACACACACACACACACACACACACACACAAAUAAAAACCAAGAAGUAUUCUUAUAUACUGCAGUAUAAUAUAGUUGAGUAUGAAUGAAAUCUUUUUUGUGUGUGAAUAUUUACAGUUCUUUUCACCAUAAAUAUCUAGAAGCAAAAAAAACAUUGCACACAAAUCUAAACAUUUUUCAUACUUUUGAUACUGUAAUUCCUGUUUAUCCUCCUUAAACCCUUUAUAUGCCAUAGAGGAUGUAGUAAGUAUACUGUUCAUGCUGCUAAACAGAAAAUACUGUUCUUUUUUUAAAUUUUUUUACUUUUUAUUGGUGUUCAAUUUACUAACAUACAGAAAAAUCCCCAGUGCCCGUCACCCA